This 125-nucleotide small RNA is filed under the name Marmota monax (woodchuck). Lineage: Eukaryota; Metazoa; Chordata; Mammalia; Rodentia; Sciuridae. The record is from RNAcentral.
GCUGGGUGUGGUGGCCCACACCUGUAAUCCCAGUGGCUCUGGAGGCUGAGACAGGAGGAUAGGGAGUUCAAAGUCAGCCUCAGCAAAAGGGAAGCCCUAAGCAACUCAGUGAGACACUGUCUCUU